CCAGUGGAGAAAUGCCACAGAGUACAGUGGAGACCAACAAAGAUACUGGUUGAUCUUGCAACAUGGUUACAGUACACACUUUUAAAUACAACAAAACAAACUGGGUAUCAACAAGCUUCCAAGCUGAGGGUUGAACACUUCCUCACUUGCGCCACUGCACAAACCCUUUUGCGCAGAUGAUGUUGGCUUUUCAAUAUAGAAUUGAAAGGGAAGUGCCCCAUCGGCAGGAAAAGCACUGAGACGGUUCAGACAAAUUCAGGGCCGUCACAACACACACACACAGAGCCGUAUCCUUCCCCCGCUUAACCACAUCAUCCAUCAGCUAUGCCUGAGCUGGUUUGCCUCUCAAUCUCACUCUAAUCAGCCCGGCUGCAGUGUUGAUGUGGGGUCAAGAAGAUGCCACUCCUGGAUUCCGUUCCGUUGCCUAGGAGUGCUGAGACCAUAUCUAUCUCUCCACAGAGCUAGCGCAGCACACAGCAUGCACAAACAAAAGACACCCCGCGUCGCCUUGGCAACUAUCAAGAGGUGUUGUCUCUGAAUGGAUUCACUUUUCCCUGUUUUUCUAUUUUCCUUUCACCAGCUUCAUGUGUCAGCUCUAAUCAAUAGCAGGAGCUGUCUUUGUUUGGCUCGUAGCCGACUGACUGAUUUGGGAGCUGCUCCCCAAUGGGCUCAGGAGAAGCGAAGCUCGAGUCAUGCAUCCUCCGAAACAUGGCACGCCAAACCACACUACUUAACACCUGCCCGCUUAACCCGGAAGCCAGCUGCACUAAUGUGCCGGAGGAAACACUGUUCAACUGACGACCAGCGUCAGCCUUCAGGUGCCUGGCCCACCACAAGGAGUCACUGGAGCACAAUGAGUCAAGUAAAGCCCCCCCUCGGCCAAACCCUCCCCUAACCCAGACGACGCUGAGCAAAUUGUGCUCCUCCCUAUGGGACUCCCGGUCACGGCCGGUUGUGACACAGCUUGGGAUCGAACCCAGGUCUGUAGUGACGCCUCAAGCACUCAGUGACGCCUAGUGUAGUAACGCCUCAGUGCCUUAGAUCGCUGCGCCACUCAGGAGGCCCCGGAAGUGGUAUGUUUUAAGCAAAAGCACAAACACAAAUGUAUUAUUCAAACAUGUUGAUCGUGUUGAACAGAUUUUUCCCUUCCUCCACAUUGGUACUACUGAAGGCUCUUCCUCUAUGAUCUAUAUGUUUACUGGAACAAGACCAACUAUUCAGGCUCCGGUCAGAAAGCCUUUCAUGAAGUAUAAAGUUAACACAGACCUCAGAGCCCCAAACAAACCAACAGCUUGCUGUUUGUUGCUUUCAUAUUUUCAUUAUUGUGUUUCUUUAUGCCCCCAAAGCUGUCGCUGCCAGUGUUUUUGUGCUUUCAUUUUUGUUAAUACUUUUUCUGUCAACUUUUUGAUGUUAGAAAUGUCUUUGUGUUUGAAAUUGCAGUGACUUGAUGUGGCUUGCCUUGAUGUAAUAUUUGGGGAAGGGAGGGGGGCGGGGAGGGGAGGUGUGUUGCCUGUGUACCUUUGUUGUAAAUAAUUUGUUUGGGAUACUAGCUGAGGGUUAUACUACAAAGUAGGAUCAAUGAGUUAGCCAGCUAGCUUUGAUAAGCAAAUACAAAUAACUACUCAUUUUGUGGUUCAUUAGGAAAGCUAAACUUUGUUUUUUGGUUAGUUGGGUCAAUCAGACCAUUAAUAUUUCAAGCUUAUCUUUAUAAAAAAUGUUAUUUCAUAAUAUUUAGUUAACUGGCUUAGUUGUUGAUCUUGCUUUGUAGUAAACCCUUCUGAAGGAACCGGGGAGCUCUGCUAUUCUCUCUCUCUCUCGCUCUCUCUCUCUAUCUCUAUCGUUUCCCCCUCUCCUCUCCUUUGCUCAAUCCUCUUGUUCAGCAGAGUUUAAUCUUGAACAUUGUCACGGGCAAAAAGGCAAACACAUCCUUCUCCCUUCUGCCACCCCUCCCUCCUCAGAAUUGACACUCAUUGAUUUUCCACAAGUUGCUUUAGAUUGGCACACAAAUCAGGCUCUUUAAUUCAGACUGGGCUCGGUCGCGUAGCCGUGAGCGGUUAGUGGCUUUAUUUAUGGGCCACACACACAAACACAGCCCUCUAUCCUCUUCUCCUCCCCUGUCUUUGGUUGAUAACAGGCACCCAGCACCCAGAGUUGUAGUUGAUUUACAGGGUGAUUGAUUGCAUGCAGGGAUUGAGGAAGUCUAGCAAGCGGAGAUUCCUUUAUCCACUCAAUGUGUCCGUCUCUAAUUAAGGGGUGUUCUACAUCUCUCUCUCUCUGUCAUCUACUGUGCCAUCAGAAAGUCACUGGUUUUACACAAAAUACCCAAUAGUGUCAAAGUGGAAUUAUGUUUUUAGAAAUGUUUAGAAAUGAAUAAAAAAUGAAAAGCUGAAAUUCCUUGAGUCAAUAAGUAUUCCAUCCCUUUGUUAUGGCAAGCCUAAAUAAGUUUAGGAGUAAAAUUGUGCUUAACC
RNAcentral lists this long non-coding RNA (2468 nucleotides) under Salmo salar (Atlantic salmon). RNAcentral describes it as "lncRNA (ENSSSAG00000112559.1)". Lineage: Eukaryota; Metazoa; Chordata; Actinopteri; Salmoniformes; Salmonidae. The record is from RNAcentral.